This 533-nucleotide long non-coding RNA is filed under the name Marmota monax (woodchuck). Lineage: Eukaryota; Metazoa; Chordata; Mammalia; Rodentia; Sciuridae. The record is from RNAcentral.
UCGUCUGGCUCGUUUUGCUCAGCAUUGUGUUUGCAGGGUCCUUCCAUGUUGGAGUGUGUAUCAAAAUUCAAUUCCUUUUUUACAACUGAAUAUUACUGCAUUCCACGUGUUUUUCUACUUGUUUUUCCAUGCAGCCAUUGGUGGACACUUGGGUUGUUUCCAUGCUUUGGCUGUUGUGGAGAGUGCCAUUAGGAACAUGAGGCACUGGUUCCUGUUCAAGGCUCUGCUUUCACUUUUUUGUGACUUUAUAUUUAACCUUGUGUUUAUUAGCCAAUUGCAUAUCAUUUUGGGGGAGGUGGAUUACCAGGGAUUGAACCUAGAGGCACUUUAGCACCGAGCCACAUCCCCAGUCCCCGCCCCCCCUUUUUAAGUUGUAGUUGGACACAAUGCCUUUAUUUUUAUUUAUUUAUUUUUAUGUGGUGCUGAGGAUCAAACCCAGUGCCUUACCUGUGCUAGGCGAGCACUCUACCACUGAGCCACAACCCCAGCCCCUUAAAAUAUAUAUAGAGGGGGGGGGCGGGGAGGGAGGGAGG